This 511-nucleotide long non-coding RNA is filed under the name Gossypium raimondii (Peruvian cotton). RNAcentral describes it as "long non-coding RNA (GRAI_LNC004151)". The record is from RNAcentral. Lineage: Eukaryota; Viridiplantae; Streptophyta; Magnoliopsida; Malvales; Malvaceae.
ACUUAUAGGAGGUAUUAUGUCUUUUCAUAGAAACAUAACUAUCAAAAUGGAUAUUCAUAUAUUUUGCAAUAAACAUAAUUAUUGUAUAGAUAUAUACUUAAAUAAUUAUAGCCUCUUCCAUGCCAGCACCGCCACGGUCAUGUCGUCGCCCUCCACUUGCACCUGCUCUACCUGCAAAAGGAAAGGAAACACGCAAGUAGAAACAGGAAAGAAAAACAAAAAUAAACUAUGUAAUAUGGCUAUAAAAGCCAGAAUCAAUUUGUAAAAAUGGGGGGUUCUUUGGGAAAAAAAAUCUAUUCAAAAAAAGGAAGAACAAAGAUUAAAAAGCAAUAAAAGGUCACUCUUUUUUUUAUUUUUGUUUCGUUUUUAUUGUUUUUUUUUAUUUUUUUAUUUUGAAAUACAAAAUAAAAACAAAGGGAAGGUCUUUUCGUACCUUUUCGUCAUUGUCGGAGUGCUCGGAGUCAGAGGGCUACGUCGGAGGGAAAAAAGGUAGACUUUUGGUCUCCUCGCC